GACGAACGCUUGCGACGUGCCUAAGAAAUGCAAGUCGAACGGGGGAGCAAUCCCUAGUGGCGAACGGUCGCGUAACACGUGGGCAACCUGCCCUGAAGCGGGGGACAACAAGUCGAAAGGUUUGCUAAUACCGCAUGUGUCUCGCUGUGGCAUCACAGAGGAGACAAAGCCGCAAGGCACUUCAGGAUGGGCCCGCGGCCUAUCAGCUUGUUGGUGAGGUAACGGCCCACCAAGGCUUCGACGGGUAGCUGGUCUGAGAGGACGAUCAGCCGGAUUGGGACUGAGAUACGGCCCAGACUCCGUACGGGGGCAGCAAUUAGGAAUCUUGCACAAUGGGCGAAAGCCUGAUGCAGCGACGUCGCGUGAAGGAUGAAAUC
RNAcentral lists this ribosomal RNA (377 nucleotides) under uncultured bacterium. RNAcentral describes it as "bacterial SSU rRNA". It matches the Rfam family "Bacterial small subunit ribosomal RNA", at positions 28 to 415 of the family's 1533-position model. The record is from RNAcentral.